GGAGCCUGCGGUUUAAUCGGACUCAACGCCGGGAAACUCACCAGAUAAGACAGCUGAAUGAUAGUCGGGCUGAAGACUCUACUUUGACUAGCUGAGAGGAGGUGCAUGGCCGUCGUCAGUUCGUACUGUGAAGCAUCCUGUUAAGUCAGGCAACGAGCGAGACCCACGCCAACAGUUGCCAGCUCGUCCUCCGGGAUGGUGGGGACACUGUUGGGACCGCCUCUGCUAAAGAGGAGGAAGGAAUGGGCAACGGUAGGUCAGCAUGCCCCGAAUUAUCUGGGCUACACGCGGGCUACAAUGGGUGGGACAAUGGGUAUCGACACCGAAAGGUGAAGGCAAUCUCCUAAACCCAUCCGUAGUUCGGAUUGUGGGCUGCAACUCGCCCACAUGAAGCUGGAAUCUGUAGUAAUCGUGUCUCAAAAUGGCACGGUGAAUAUGUCCCUGCUCCUU
Molecule: ribosomal RNA, 450 nt
Filed under: uncultured Methanomicrobiales archaeon
Lineage: Archaea; Methanobacteriati; Methanobacteriota; Methanomicrobia; Methanomicrobiales
Description: bacterial SSU rRNA
Rfam family: Archaeal small subunit ribosomal RNA
Source: RNAcentral